CAUUAAGUAUUUUGUAAAGUUGUUCUAGUUUUGUAACUAAAAUGGUUUGGCAGUGAGCGAUUCUUAUUAGGGGAAUAUGCAUAGUGAAGGAUGGUCCACCUAUUAGUUUACUCUUUUUAUGUUGGUGUAUGUCUGGUUUGAUAUUAUUGUUGAAUAAUUUAAGUUUGUGUAGUUUUAGUUAAGCUAAGUCUAUGUGCUGCUUAUGGGAGUUUUUGUGUGUUACAUUAAUAAGGGUGUUAUUGUGAGAUGAUGUGAUUUAGGACUUAAUAGUAAUGUUAAAUGAGUUUGUUGAUGUGAAGAGAGUUUAGCUCAGGUACACACCGCCCGUCACCCUCGGUUACCACCUCUAUUAACACUUCCUU
This 362-nucleotide ribosomal RNA is filed under the name Echinococcus granulosus. RNAcentral describes it as "partial 12S small subunit ribosomal RNA". Lineage: Eukaryota; Metazoa; Platyhelminthes; Cestoda; Cyclophyllidea; Taeniidae. The record is from RNAcentral.